Oncorhynchus tshawytscha (Chinook salmon) is the source of this 725-nucleotide long non-coding RNA. RefSeq lists it as uncharacterized. The record is from RefSeq and is a predicted model, not a curated record. NCBI's taxonomy places the organism in Eukaryota, Metazoa, Chordata, Actinopteri, Salmoniformes, Salmonidae. The transcript is spliced from 3 exons.
UCUUGAUUUAGUGGUAGGUUGUUUUCGACUUCCGGUUAUGUUCGUUUGUUAGCCAAAUAUUUGAAUGUUGUUUUGUUGUUGUUUGGGACAUUCAAUAACAUCCGAGUUAUGAGAUUUAAACGACCUAUAAUACAGCGUUUUGUUAAUUAUUACAUAGCUAGCUUAUUAGAUAUAUAACUGGUUAAUAAGUAUAAGCAUUCGAAGUAUAAACGGGUAGCGAUUAUUGGUCUGUCGUUAAGCUAGCUAGGCUAGCUAGGCUAGCCCAAACAGACACUGAACUGAACAGAAAGUGCCAGCCAACAUGACAAAUCACUGCCAACUCCGCCAGUGAACACUCAGGGGGAUGGUGUCGAGUGUUGUUGGUCAGUGUGUGUCUGAGCAGCGUGUCACCCAGGCAGUGUGAUUGACUAUGGCAAGGACAGACCACACGAUGACGUUAGGGUCCUGGCCAGCUUCAACAUCCACCGCAGCCAAGGUCGUCGGGCACGCAGGAGGAACUUCAUCACCAUAUCAGAUGACUCUGACGAGGAGCCGGUUCAUCUGGACCCCAACAGUCCUGUCCUGGUUUCUGACAAACCUGACGAUGAUGAUGAUGUCAGCAUACUAGAGGUAACCUUUAACCCCUGACCUCUCACCGUGUCCUGGUUUCUAACAAACCUGAUGAUGAUGAUGUCAGCAUACUAAAGGUAACCUUUAACCCCUGACCUCUCACCCUGUCCUGGUUU